RNAcentral lists this long non-coding RNA (2713 nucleotides) under Phaseolus vulgaris (common bean). RNAcentral describes it as "long non-coding RNA (PVUL_LNC000838)". The record is from RNAcentral. Lineage: Eukaryota; Viridiplantae; Streptophyta; Magnoliopsida; Fabales; Fabaceae.
AAUUAAUAAAAAAAUUUAUCCCUUACCCUAAUUAAUUUUACUUUUUCCCUCAAAUUUGAAACAAUUUUUUUUUCUCCCACUCUGAUUUCUAGUUCCCUCCCACAGACUACUCCAUUGCCGUCGUCGUCCUCUCGGCCGCCGCCGUGCCAGAGAUCAUGGCCGGCACCAUAUUUACCGGAUCAGCAACAUUUUAUAAAGCAGAGGUACUCUAAGUGAAAGGCGCGCCUUUGAUUAUUGAAUUCUUAGCGGCUGGUGUUCGCAAGGUUUGAAAUACGAAGGCCAUUUCAAUUCACUCUGAUGUUAUUCCACCUUAUAGAUAUAUCUUGUAUACACUUAAAUUCUGUGCUGAAUUGAUGAAUGCUUCGAUGUUGCUUUGAAAAUAAGUGAUGAUCUGGUGCUGUUCUUGCCGUUUUUGAAAUGAAACAAUGUUGGUUUCGCUUUGAGAUUGUGGCAAGUGAGUGUAGUUGUAUGUUACUACUUACUUACAGGCGUCAGAUGCAUGCUCUUUGUUUUAAGCUCAAUAAUUUUGCUCAUAACCUUUCAUUGGUGAGUGGAUAGCAUGGAAUCUGUUUUCUGAUUGUGAAACUUGUUUUAUUUCCAUUUUGUUUCAAAUAAGUGGCAUAUUGAAGAAUUUGUUAUUUCUUCUCUCCUUGAGGUCGUAUGGAAUCUUAUAUGUGUGCCUUUUUGGAUUGAUUUUGACCCUUUGAGUGUUAAUUAGAUGGUCUAUUGGAUUUGAAACUAAAAGAGGAUGUUAUCCAUCCCUGUAUGAUGUAUCCAACAUGUGAUCCAAAUCCAAAACCUUCCCGAAGGAGGCCGUAGUUUUCCAUAAAUAAGGAUUUGGGUUCAAGUCAAACCCUAAUGGUUUAAAAUAGCUUUUAGAUUAGUCAAACCCAAAAUAUCUUUCAGAUAUCAAUGUCUAAAAAAAACCUGCUCUUGAUUUGAUGAAAUGCAUUUUCAGUUUGACUUGGAUACAUCUUUAAUACUCACUUUGUAACCAAUCUUACUUUAAAAGGAUCUUCUCAUUGUCGAAUUAAGAUUUUUCUCUUGUACUGCAUUCAUUUACAAUUUUGCAUUGUGAGAUUGCUCUGUAAUAUAUGCUUUAAAUGUUACGGUUGAUUAAUGUCCUCCCGAGUUUCAGCAUUGCACCCUGGGGAUGAAAAUUUAAUAUUUAUAAUUUGGGGAGGUGAGAAUAUAUGUUGAAAUUCAAUCAUUUCAUCCUAAAAAUAACAGGUAAUUGCUAAACAUGAAAGUUCUACUAUUAGUCUGCACUGUUAUUUCUAGUUCUUUUAGCUUGAUUGAUUCAACCGUGUUAUUUAUUUUAUUGGAUUUUUCAUUUGGUUUGGCCACUCUAAUGAUAAGGAUUUCCAAAUUCAUGCAGACAAGUCUUCAUUAAUCUUGACAUGAACUUGAUUGGGAGCUUUUAUUACUUUGAAACAAUAUCCUAGUUGGUUGAGCAAUAUUUCUUUUAUAAGAGAUUAUGACACCACUUUUAUUUACUUUUAUGUUCUUGGUCCUCAAGAGAGGUUCUUGUUGUGAUUUGGUAAGGAAUACGAACCAACAUCAGCUGAUUCGGUUAUUUUCAUUUUUCUUCUAGUAGCCAGAAGCAGUCAUUGGCUCAGAGUUUGAUGCAAACGCUAGAAUUUUUUUGCCGUUGCUAAUUCAUGAAUGCUACCAACUAUACUAACUAACAAGCAACAGCAGGACCUCAGUCAAGGAGUAAAAUGCUCACUUAACUCGGUUAAGAAUAUUUUAGAAAAGUAUGUUUUAGUUACCAGAUGUCAGGGAAAGAACUCUCCCAUUGUGGGGUUUGUAAAAGGCACUAAGUCACUGGUAAUCUUGUAGGUUAACUUAUUUUAAUCUCCCUUUUGAUAAUGUGAAUUGUUUCAUAGCUAUUAGUUACAGUAGCAUCUACAAUAUGGAAGAUAUGCGAUUUCUAAGCUGGGGAAUUUUGCUUCACAGGUACUAAAUAAACUAAGUUAUGCUUUUACAACAUUGGAACAAACAAAUUACAUGCCUAUAUUCAUUCAUUUUCUCCGUUUCCAAUGUAUCCCUCCACAAUUCUGGUAUACCAUGACAUUCAUAAGAAACCACUUCAUUUGCUCUAUUCCUAUGAAGUGGGAGUUGUUCAUGUAUUUGGUGAUUAAUGACUCUUGUGCAUGUUUUUGAGUGUUUGUUCACUCUAGGUUUUUCUCAUUCAAAUUUUCUUCUAAAUUAAUGCUACCUUAGAAUCAAAUCUUUUAUCAUUAUGAAUUUCUAGAACUUUGGUUGCUUUGAUGAGGACAGGCAACACAAUGCUUAGAACAAGCAACAUGUAAAAGGCCAAGAAGGAACAGAGGAACAGAAGACGAAGAAAGAUGCAACUGGGAAUCGUUUGAAUUUUGAUACCUUGCUUCUCCCUAGGAGUGGCGUGAUUUUGAAGGCGAAUGAAUUGCGAAGGUUAUUUGAGUGCAACUUGAAAGCAAUGGAGGAAUAUGAACAUUAACUUUCGUAGCUGAAAUAGAUUCCAUUCACAAUUCCAUUCGUGUAUAUAUAUAUAUAUAUAUAUAUAUAUAUAUUCAUAAAUAGAUAAAAGAGCUGCUUCAUUUUUAUUAUAGAAAAAUAUAUUGUAUAAAAAUGUACAAGGUUUGGAUACAGAAAUAUAUAUAAUUUUAGUAAAAAAAAUCAUAUUUCCUUUAUAUCUCUCUUAAAAGAAGGAGAAACUACGGAACAGGGC